UACAGAGGGUGCAAGCGUUGUUCGGAAUUAUUGGGCGUAAAGGGCGCGUAGGCGGCUUGGCAAGUGGAUGGUGAAAUCCCUCGGCUUAACCGAGGAACUGCCGUCCAAACUGCUUAGCUUGAGACCGGGAGAGGUGAGUGGAAUUCCCAGUGUAGCGGUGAAAUGCGUAGAUAUUGGGAGGAACACCAGUGGCGAAGGCGGCUCACUGGACCGGUACUGACGCUGAGGCGCGAAAGCGUGGGGAGCAAACGGG
This 253-nucleotide ribosomal RNA is filed under the name uncultured bacterium. RNAcentral's name for it is "partial 16S ribosomal RNA". It matches the Rfam family "Bacterial small subunit ribosomal RNA", at positions 524 to 776 of the family's 1533-position model. The record is from RNAcentral.